UGCCCCCCUCCCCCACCAAGUCCAGUCUACAGCAUUCCUUCCGGGGUCUUCUCACCUCCCCCAACUCUCACCCACUGUACUCUCAAAACAAGCCUAAAUUUUCUCCACGGGCCUUGAGCUGCUGCUAUAAAGUUCAAUGUGUUACCUCCACCUGGGGCAUCCACAUGGUUACAAAAAAUUCAGCUUUAAGCCAAAGGUACAGAUACAGUGAGGAGCUGGGUGGGAAUGAGGGCCGGGCCGGAAGACC
Molecule: long non-coding RNA, 247 nt
Filed under: Mustela putorius furo (domestic ferret)
Lineage: Eukaryota; Metazoa; Chordata; Mammalia; Carnivora; Mustelidae
Description: lncRNA (ENSMPUG00000025962.1)
Source: RNAcentral